UGGGGAAUAUUGGACAAUGGGCGAAAGCCUGAUCCAGCAAUGCCGCGUGUGUGAAGAAGGCUUUCGGGUUGUAAAGCACUUUCAGUUGGGAAGAAAAGCUCAGGGCUAAUACCCCCGAGUCUUGACGUUACCGACAGAAGAAGCACCGGCUAACUCCGUGCCAGCAGCCGCGGUAAUACGGAGGGUGCGAGCGUUAAUCGGAAUUACUGGGCGUAAAGGGCGCGUAGGUGGUUCGAUUAGUCGGGUGUGAAAGCCCCGGGCUUAACCUGGGAAUUGCAUUCGAUACUGUCGAGCUUGAGUAUGGUAGAGGGAAGCGGAAUUCCAGGUGUAGCGGUGAAAUGCGUAGAUAUCUGGAGGAACAUCAGUGGCGAAGGCGGCUUCCUGGACCAAUACUGACACUGAGGCGCGAAAGCGUGGGGAGCAAACAGGAUUAGAUACCCCCGUAGUCC
This 449-nucleotide ribosomal RNA is filed under the name uncultured prokaryote. RNAcentral describes it as "bacterial SSU rRNA". It matches the Rfam family "Bacterial small subunit ribosomal RNA", at positions 355 to 796 of the family's 1533-position model. The record is from RNAcentral.